RNAcentral lists this long non-coding RNA (3470 nucleotides) under Equus asinus (donkey). Its description in RNAcentral is "lncRNA (ENSEASG00005025462.1)". The record is from RNAcentral. Lineage: Eukaryota; Metazoa; Chordata; Mammalia; Perissodactyla; Equidae.
CCAAUGAGGAGCCGCGGGCGCUGCUGUGAGGCCCACAGAAAGACCCGAGGCGGCACUGGCCUUGAAAAAGUGGGGACCAGUUCCGGCCCCCAUCGUGGUGCCCCUCAUCCAGCCCUACCCACCCUCAAGCGUUUUUUGGCGGACAUGAUGGUGGAGCUAGGGGGAACCGGCCUCAGCUGGAAGGGGCGGGUGGAAGGCGCGGGGACUCUGGACAACGCCCCCGGGGGGCGGCAGAUUCGGGAUGGGAGUGGGGGCGAGAAUGGAGAGCUGCCGUGCGGGGCCCCGCAACGGCGGGAGGAGUGGGUGCCCAAGGCCGAGGAGAGAAAGAACAGCCGGUCGGGAGGGGGGAGAGGCGGAGCUGUUCAGGAGCGAGCGGAAAUGGUGCGGGGAGUCAGCCUCUGGGGCCGCCCGGGGAGCUGGGAUGCGGCGCGGGCCACGUGCGCCCGGGAGUACUUAGCGUGGCAGGCGGCCCGCGGGCGGUGGUGGAGACCCUCUGUGGGCAGGGCCUUGUGCUGGGACGACCAUCCCUCAGUCGCAGGGGCGCCCGGUGGCUUUCAGCUUUGAAUUCAGAGACUAUUGACGCCCCAGGCGGGGCCGGCGUCUCCAGACCAGGCCACGGGGCUGCAGAGAGAAGAACACGCCUGCUUUUGCCGCGGAUCGCGAGCGCUCGGGCGCAAAGACCCAGAGUGAGCUGACACGUCAAAGACAUUAUAAGGAAGAAGAUGAAACUCAAAGGUAAGAUUUAUAAACAUAGGCUCCCUGCUCUUAGAUUAAGUGUCCCUGAAGACUUCAACCUAAAGUGGAUCUCUGUAAGCAGAAUCCUGAUCAGGCACAUGCGGAUGUCUUCUGUUUGGAUACCAGUGGGAACUGUUAAGUGACUAUGUAAAUCUGACGAUAGUGAAGCACAAGCAUUUAUUUGAUAGCGUUGAAUGGGGGGAGGUGCAAAAUGUGAAGCAGUAACAAAUGAAAACUGCCUGUCGAUGUGAAGGAAAGGCAAAGAUAUAUUCAGGCAUGCAUCGAAGUAUUAAAAUGUAAGUGCACUGUAGAAACACUACAGACUGUGGGGCCUGGAUUCCAAUCCUGUCUGUGACAAUUAUAGUUGCGUAAACUUGGGGAAGUGACUUCCUCUUCAUUUCUUAGUUCCUACAGUACUACUUCAUAGGGUUGUUGCAAGAAUUAAAUGAAAUAAUAUGUUCAAAGCACUUAGAACAGUGUCUGGAUAUAAUGAGCUCAAUAUGAUGUUAGUUAUUGGUACCAUCAUCAUCAUCAUUGCUGUUUCUAGAAUUGCAUGUGCAAGGGCAGAAAGGAAUAUCGAAUGUGCAGAGCAUCAACAGAGAAGGUCUCCUUGAGAAGGGAGAAUCUGAACUGAGCUCUAAGCAUAGAAAGACCUCAAAACAAUGGAAAUGGGCGGUAGGAAACAGGUAGAUUCCGAGUGUAGGAAAGAGAAUGAGCCAAAGUACAAAGAAAAAAGUUUGAGGUAUGGGAAGGUCUAGCUGGUGUGUAUGGUGUUGCUGGGCAGUAGAGAGUGAUAAUGCUGGAAGGGGAAAAAAUCACAAGGUUUGGCAAUUGUUUAGAUGUGGCAAAUGAGGGUGUCAUGUAUAACCCAAAUAUAUGCUGGAAUUCAUAUGGCCCAGUCUCAAAGCAAUGAUGAACUGAAAAAACAGUCUAGCAACCAACGCUAUUUUAAAAUGAAAUCAAAAUUUUGCUUGCCAGUCUCCAAGAACAUCAAAAAGCAUGCAAUUCAUAAGCUUUAGGAACAAUUCCUAAACUUCCCUUUCCUCUCCUCAGUAAUUCUUACAUCUUGCCAGCUCUGGAGCUUCUCCUUCUCUUAACCUCCCCUUUUCCAUUUCUUCUGUCCUGAAACUCUCUCAGCAGCCUUAGGGCAUGAGGCCCUCAUCUUUUGUUCCCCUCCUCCUUUCCUUCUGCCUUUUCAGUCUUGUCUCUGUUUAUCCAUGCUCCUGAUUUUGAAUCACGAAGCCCAGGGACCAUCCUGAAAGAGGCAGAACUCUCCUUAGAAGGUAGGCUGAGCAAAGCUGUCAAAGACAAUAUCUUCUCCAUGGACAGUGGUAGAGAGAUUUACGUUGUGGCAGAGAGGUUAUGUAUUAACACUCUUAUGUUAAUACGUUUUUUAAGUCAUCAAAGAUAACAGUAAGGUUUUGAGCCUUGGUGAUAGAAUAAUGGAGGGUGUAUCAUUACAGAAAUAGGGAAGCCAAGGAUGGAAGAGCUUGGGAAGAUGUUGAGUUUGGAACAGUACAUAUAUUAGAGCUACAGCAUCAUUCCAGGUGUAGGUAGACAAAAGGAAGCUGGAUAAAGAGAUCAGGGAUUUAGACGGAUUUGGGUAUCAUCCCACAGAAGUGAUAGUUGAAGAUGUGGAAGUGCAUAAGAAAAGAAAUAUAAAGAAAACAUAGAGAAAGGUGAGCAUUAAGGACAGAACUUUAGAAAAUACUUACAUUUCAGGAUAGGAAUUGACAAGAGAAUUUAGGAAAGAAGAGAGAAAUCCUGGUGUCCAGGCCUCACCCAGACCAUUCCAUCAAAAUCUCUGGAGGUGGGAUUCAUGCAUUAACAUUCUUGACAGCUUCCCACUGAUUCCCUGUGGAGCCAAGUUGAAAACCUUGUGGCUUAUGUGAUGCCUGAUGGUUUUUAGGGUUGUAUGGAAAGCAGUUGUUAGGGAAUAAAGUUCUAGUUUACUGGAUUUAAAAAUCAGAAAAUCUAACAUUCUCGUUUUGCUGAGGAACCCGGGGCUCAAAGAGAUUAAUUAAUUUUGUGACCUUAAACAAGAAAUUUAAUGAAUUUCCAAACUCCUACUUACCUCUCACUGUCAUAAACAUGAUCUCCUCUCCCUCGUCUUCUCUCACCCCACUCCUCCUCAUCCUAGCCCAAGCCCUCUGCUACCCCUGCUCCGACUCUUCCUGUCUCUCCUUCUAUGGCUGUGCAAUCCAUCCAAAGGCUCUUGGUUCAGAUUUUAGAACGCUACAUUUCUGCCUGGUUAAAAGGCUCACUUGAGGUACCUCCAGCAGCGGCAGACCAGACCAGACCACACUGUCGGAGGAAAACCCUUCGAGGGACUCUCUUAUAACUUUGUGAGCCUGGAGGGAAGGGUAACCUCCAGAAGAAAAUGGAGGAUGGGGGGGCAUCCUGUAUUUUGAGGUGCUGGAGGUGGAGAUGCCCCGACUUCGCACAGUCUGCUCCUCAGAGACUCCAGCAGGCCCCUCUCUGCUGUUUAUGAAGUGGCGUCAAAGUCUGGGGCUGUGGUGGCGAGGCCUGCCAGAGCUGAUGAGGACACAGCAUUUGUGGGAAUUCUGUGACUCCAGAAGGCGAAAGGUCAGUUUCUUUUCAUUGACAGUGUUCAUGCUGCCCAAGAGUUUAUCUCUGAGAAUCUUGACUGGUUUCCAGGGUCAGGCUUCACCUCCAUUGUUAUCUGGAAACACAGGAACAGCCCUUUUGUCGUGCCAGACUAGGUCAGACAUUGG